RNAcentral lists this small nuclear RNA (191 nucleotides) under Peromyscus maniculatus bairdii (prairie deer mouse). RNAcentral's name for it is "U2 spliceosomal RNA (ENSPEMG00000002042.2)". It matches the Rfam family "U2 spliceosomal RNA". From Rfam's summary of the family: U2 is a small nuclear RNA (snRNA) component of the spliceosome (involved in pre-mRNA splicing). Complementary binding between U2 snRNA (in an area lying towards the 5' end but 3' to hairpin I) and the branchpoint sequence (BPS) of the intron results the bulging out of an unpaired adenosine, on the BPS, which initiates a nucleophilic attack at the intronic 5' splice site, thus starting the first of two transesterification reactions that mediate splicing. Lineage: Eukaryota; Metazoa; Chordata; Mammalia; Rodentia; Cricetidae. The record is from Rfam by way of RNAcentral.
AUUGCUUCUCGGCCUUUUGGCUAAGAUCAAGUGUAGCAUCUGUUCUUAUCAGUUUAAUAUCUGAUAAGUCCUCUAUCUGAGGACGAUAUAUUAAAUGGAUUUUUGGAAGUAGGAGUUGGAAUAGGAGCUUGCUCCAUCCACUCCACAUAUCGACCUGCUAUUGCAGUACCUCCAGGAACGGUGCACCAAUU